This 1439-nucleotide unclassified non-coding RNA is filed under the name Hevea brasiliensis (rubber tree). The record is from RNAcentral. Lineage: Eukaryota; Viridiplantae; Streptophyta; Magnoliopsida; Malpighiales; Euphorbiaceae.
AAAUUUUUGGGAUAAAGGAUUAGUUGAGUUAAGUUGAGUUGUUGUUAGAAACCCCAACCAUAGGUUUUAUAUACAUUAUAGGUUUUAUAUGCAUUAAGACCAAUUGGGGAAUCAUGAAGGUACUAGAGCAAAUAGUCUUACCUUGUUUUUGAAAUGUUGGGUCUUCAUGCUCUGAGAUGCUUCAUGGCUAGUUGUGUUAUUUGGACACAGGUUAACAGCUCAGACAUGCCAGCCCAUGUAUAAGACUGUUCUAUGUGAAUGGAAUUAAUUAUAUCUGUGCAAAAUGAUCAACAAGUCUCUUCAAUUAAAUAGAAGAAACUGGAGAAGCAGGAAUGAGGGAGGAAAGGAUUAUUGCCACAGGGGUGUGUUUUUGGGUGUAUGUCUUUCUGUGUCAAGGUUUUGUGAAUUGUCAUUUUUAGGUCCCUGUUCUUUGUUGAAUCUUUAUCCCAUGUUCAGUAUAUGUUAACAUGGCAUUAAGUGCACUCUUUGCUCUUACCUCAAGAGACCUUGCACGUAGCAAUCACAUAACAGAAUGUUACAAAAAAUUACCUUGCAUAUCACAUCAAAUAGAACAGGUAUCAUAAUGCAUGCCUAUAUCUGAUGGGUAUUCUAGAAACUGAAUUUCAGAAGGUGGAAAGUGAAAGUUCACUAGAGGCCAUGCCUUGAACGAAAUGUGAAUGCUACACACAUGGCAUUUGUGUACGUGUAUGCCUUGCAUAUUAAGAGAAGAAAGUGGUCCAGACUCCAGAGAGAGAGAGUGUGCGAGUGUUCCUGACAUUCAAUUCAGUAUUUGGUAAUAGCUAAUCUCUUUUUUUUUCUUCAUCUUCUCUUUGUAUAAGGAGAGCACUUUGACAUAAACUUAUGCAUGCAAUGAUCUAUACCCAAAUCCCCACUUACUGAAACCAGUCAAGGUAGACCUAUGUUGUAAUUGCUGUUUCUUAUUUUGAUAUUGCAACCCCUCGUCAAAUUGUGUCAUAAUAUCAAAAGAAAUCCCACUUCUUUAAAUGAAUUUGUGAGAAAGUGAAGUAGAUGCUGCAGCCUACUGCAGUAAACAUUUAACAUAUGAAUGACUAAAAAUUUCAAGCCACCUAGAUCUCUUUUCCCCCUUGAAGCAGCCUAUUUUAUUACAAAGUAAUGGAUUCAGUGCGCACAUCUUUUGUACUCAUUUUCAAGGUCAAUGAUUAUGCUUUUUGCCCAUUUAUGGUUUUAGGACCACUUGUUUGGUAGAGAGAAAACUUGUAGAUUUGAGGUAGUUCAAUAUCUUUUUAUGGCAUAAAGGUUUUUUUUUUUUUAAUCAAUUAAUUCAGUGAAUUUAUUAUUUAUGGCAUGAAGUUUUAUUUUCACCGUCUCCUUUUUGUUGUCUACUGAGCAUUUAUUUUUAUAGUGCAUUUAUGUUCCUGCAUUAUUGCUUCUGCAGAAACAAAAGGUCCAACAAGAGU